This 2049-nucleotide long non-coding RNA is filed under the name Homo sapiens (human). Its description in RNAcentral is "non-protein coding lnc-AK6-2:3". Lineage: Eukaryota; Metazoa; Chordata; Mammalia; Primates; Hominidae. The record is from RNAcentral.
UCUCACUUCUGACCUCUGGACACGUGCUGCAGCUGUGGCUGAGGCCAAGAAAUGUGAGGGGCCUCCAUCCACUGCAUUGAGUAGUGACCCCGACGUGGGGUUCAAUGUGGAGGGGGGAGGGGCUGCUGCGGCAGCUGCAGGAGCCGACCUUGUUCUUCUCAUGCCGGCAUCCCUGCUUGCAGCUGUCAAGGGGACAGGAAUCAUCGAGGUGACCUGGGCUGAGUCCCGGGAGUGGGAAGAGUUGGCCGGAAGGGGAUCUGAGGAGGAGAACAGGGGUCCUGGUGGUCUGUGCUUCUUCCCAGACACGGGAGCUGUAGCGGGGACCUCUGCUGCAGAUGCUAGGGGGGCCACUAGGCCCAGGCAGUCUUGGGACUUGGGUCUGUCCUGCUGUGCAUCCAUAGUGGGUGCUUUAGAAACGGGAGGCCCACCCGAAGCCCCUGUUGCAAGUGAGGACAAAGUGUGGGAAGGCCGUGAGGGUCUGCAGUCCGAGAUGGCCUUGUCCUCAACGUGCAGUGCACUGUUGAUGCGCUGGAAUGCCUUCUCUUUUUCCAGGUGCAGGUCUUCAGCCGUGACCCGGUACCCCAGCUCUAAGGGAGGUGGCAGCAUCAAAGGCUCCCCUCGCCUGCGUGGCAGCAGGGGAAUCUUGCGUCUACGGGGCCUAGAGUCCUGGGAUCUGGGGGAGCCACCCGUUGGGGCGAUUGUCUGCCCUGGUGCUGUAUCUGCCCCCUUUUCACACCGUGUGUGACCCGAAGAGACAGCCUGAGGCCUGUCCUCACUCACUGUCUUUGAGUAACUGAGGGUCAGCUGGCAGCGGGAUGAGGCUGGCCCCCUCCUCUGCUUUAGCCCCGGCAAGCCUCCCGUGGAGCUGUAGGAGCUGGAGAUGGCAUUUCGUUUGGUGCUCGAGCUCGUCCAGGAUGUCUGGGAUGUGUGGUUAUAUCUGAUUUCUGAGCUCUGGGCGUGGAGGUCUGUCUGCAGAGGCCCGGGCCUGGGCACAAAGGGAGAGGGGCCUCCAUUGUCCCGCAGGGGCCAAAAUGCAGACCGUGCAUCCCCGGUGACCUCGGGGACCGUUCUCUGAUCAUCAGGAUUUUCUUGGACUCUGGGGUCCUUGUGCUGCUCAGGCAUCCCUGCCCCGCUCUCCUUGAGGGCCCUCAACACUAUCUUCCCUGGACACAAGUCUGGGGACAGCCGGGUGUUGUGGACCCCAAAGGGGUGACUACCUGCUCCUGGGCCCCACAGAGUCCUUGUGCUCAGUGUAGUGGCUGAGCUGGGGGAUGCCCUGGAACUCAGAGCACACAGCACUGGCUUACUGUGGUACCUGUGCAGUGAAGUUGAAGACAGAAUCACCAGGAUGGAACACAGGUCUUGCAGGAUCACGGAAAACCUUCUUAGAGUUGUCUUGACACCACUGAUGUCGAGUGUGCGGGUGUUUGUAGGAUGGCCUGCCACUCAGUCCAGGGGCAGGAGCAACGGGGAGAUCCCACAAGCAAAGUGAACUGGGGGAUGGGCUGAAGGGGCUCCAGGCAACUGAGCCCUACUCGCAGGUCCUCGGCCUUGGCCCAAACAGGAAUGAGGGGCACAGAGUGCCCGGGUAACCGCUCCUGGGAGCAGUGGGGAACUGUCGGAUACUUGAACUCUCAAGAGCUGGGCUCUGAGCGUCCUCGUCCAGCUGCCAACUUGGCCAAAGGCUAAGCCAGCAGAUUGUUCUGUUGCCGGGCAACGCGACUUCUAAACCUGAGGGAGUGGGCAUGUGAGCACAUAAUGGCACCAGUGACAGAGCGACCAUAAUGGAUGAAUAAGCGCAGCCAGGUACCCGCGCAAGGCACCUGCUGGCAAUGGCAGGAGGCGGACGUGGGGGGUCGUGCAGUAGGUACUGGAGGGAGAGACGUGGGCACAAAGGUCGCGGGAGGAACAGGUGCCCACAAUGGCUGCAUAUUUGCCCGUGGAUCACUGAAGAUUCCUGCUCUCCUGCUGAGGUGGAGACUGCAGUGAGCUGAGAUCGCACCAUUGCACUCCAGCCUGGGCAACGAGUGCAAAACUCAGUCUCCAGAU